This 740-nucleotide ribosomal RNA is filed under the name uncultured bacterium. Its description in RNAcentral is "bacterial SSU rRNA". It matches the Rfam family "Bacterial small subunit ribosomal RNA", at positions 28 to 774 of the family's 1533-position model. The record is from RNAcentral.
GACGAACGCUGGCGGCGUGCCUAAUACAUGCAAGUCGAGCGGGGGUGGUGAGGUAGCUUGCUAUUGAGCCACCCUAGCGGCGGACGGGUGAGUAACGCGUGGGCAACCUACCCUGUAGGCUGGGAUAACAGGUCGAAAGGCCUGCUAAUACCGGAUGAGCUCGCGGGGUCGCAUGGCCUUGUGAGGAAAGGGGAGACCCGCUACAGGAUGGGCCCGCGUCCCAUUAGCUAGUUGGUGAGGUAACGGCUCACCAAGGCGACGAUGGGUAGCCGGCCUGAGAGGGCGACCGGCCACACUGGAACUGAGACACGGUCCAGACUCCUACGGGGGGCAGCAGUAGGGAAUCUUCGGCAAUGGGCGAAAGCCUGACCGAGCGACGCCGCGUGAGGGAAGAAGGUCUUCGGAUUGUAAACCUCUGUCUAGGGGGACGAGGAAGGACGGUACCCCUGGAGGAAGCCCCGGCUAACUACGUGCCAGCAGCCGCGGUAAUACGUAGGGGGCGAGCGUUGUCCGGAAUUACUGGGCGUAAAGGGCGCGCAGGCGGCCAUGUAAGUCAGGUGUGAAAGGCCGAGGCUCAACUUCGGUUAGACGUCUGAUACUGCGUGGCUUGAGGGCAAGAGAGGGAAGUGGAAUUCCCGGUGUAGCGGUGAAAUGCGUAGAUAUCGGGAGGAACACCAGUGGCGAAGGCGGCUUCCUGGAUUGUACCUGACGCUCAUGCGCGAAAGCUGGGGGAGCGAACG